Molecule: long non-coding RNA, 533 nt
Organism: Homo sapiens (human)
Lineage: Eukaryota; Metazoa; Chordata; Mammalia; Primates; Hominidae
Gene: TMED11P
Product: transmembrane p24 trafficking protein 11, pseudogene
Source: Ensembl
CUCCUGGUUUGGGAAUGUUUGUGACUAUUACAACUUACAAUGAUGAGGUAAUAUUGUCGAAGUUAUACGGCCCGCAAGGGACAUUCUAUUUUACUUCACAUUCACCUGGUGAACACACCAUUUGCUUAGAAUCUAAUUCUACAAGGCUUGUGUAAUUUGGAGGGAGUAGGCUGCGGAUCCACUUAGAUAUUCGAGUUGGAGAACACGACCUUGAUGCGGCCAUUGCUCAAGCAAAGGACAAAGUUAAUGAACUUACCUUCAAGCUUGAACAUCUAAUUGAACAAAUUGAGCAAAUAGUCAAAGAACAAAACUAUCAAAGGGACCGUGAAGAAAAUUUUCGAACGACCAGUGAAGAUACAAAUAGCAAUGUUUUAUGGUGGGCUUUUGCACAAAUAUUAAUCUUUAUCUCAGUCGGAAUUUUCCAAAUGAAGUACCUGAAAGACUUCUUUAUAGCUAAGAAGAUUGUUUAAAAUAUUAUCAAUAAGGACAAAUAAUCUGCAUAAUGUUUGAGUUAAUAAAUCAAAAUACCUGCA